RNAcentral lists this unclassified non-coding RNA (229 nucleotides) under Hevea brasiliensis (rubber tree). Lineage: Eukaryota; Viridiplantae; Streptophyta; Magnoliopsida; Malpighiales; Euphorbiaceae. The record is from RNAcentral.
AUAUUUAACAGUGUCCUGGUACAUAGCCUCUUCCAUCUCCAAACACAUCGUUUCAAAUUUUUGGUAUAUGUUUCCAACCCAUGAUAUAGAUUUCAAGUCCAUUGCAGAAUAGGUACUCAACUUCACAGGGAUUCUAUCAAGUUAGUAUUGCGAGAUGUUACAGCUUCCCAACAAAGAUUUUCAGCAAAACACAAAAGAAUCAAGCUUUAUAACAUGGAUUCUAAAGAAA